Molecule: transfer RNA, 74 nt
Filed under: Paracoccaceae bacterium
Lineage: Bacteria; Pseudomonadati; Pseudomonadota; Alphaproteobacteria; Rhodobacterales; Paracoccaceae
Also listed under: 1 other name
Description: Rhodobacteraceae bacterium tRNA-Cys
Rfam family: tRNA
About the family: Transfer RNA (tRNA) molecules are approximately 80 nucleotides in length. Their secondary structure includes four short double-helical elements and three loops (D, anti-codon, and T loops). Further hydrogen bonds mediate the characteristic L-shaped molecular structure. tRNAs have two regions of fundamental functional importance: the anti-codon, which is responsible for specific mRNA codon recognition, and the 3' end, to which the tRNAs corresponding amino acid is attached (by aminoacyl-tRNA synthetases). tRNAs cope with the degeneracy of the genetic code in two manners: having more than one tRNA (with a specific anti-codon) for a particular amino acid; and 'wobble' base-pairing, i.e. permitting non-standard base-pairing at the 3rd anti-codon position.
Source: RNAcentral
GGCGACGUGGCGGAGUGGUUACGCAGCGGAUUGCAAAUCCGUGGACACCGGUUCGAGUCCGGUCGUCGCCUCCA